GGGCAUAGCUCAGUGGUAGAGAGUGUGCUUAGCAUGUACAAGGUCCUGGAUUCAAUACCCAGUAUGCCCA
This 70-nucleotide transfer RNA is filed under the name Camelus ferus (Wild Bactrian camel). It matches the Rfam family "tRNA". From Rfam's summary of the family: Transfer RNA (tRNA) molecules are approximately 80 nucleotides in length. Their secondary structure includes four short double-helical elements and three loops (D, anti-codon, and T loops). The record is from Rfam by way of RNAcentral. Lineage: Eukaryota; Metazoa; Chordata; Mammalia; Artiodactyla; Camelidae.